Fukomys damarensis (Damara mole-rat) is the source of this 849-nucleotide long non-coding RNA. RefSeq lists it as uncharacterized. Lineage: Eukaryota; Metazoa; Chordata; Mammalia; Rodentia; Bathyergidae. The record is from RefSeq and is a predicted model, not a curated record. The transcript is spliced from 4 exons.
UUACUAACCUCCUAGCUCAAAAAUGUGUGAGGCCAGAAGUCUGUCACAUGAACUUGUCCUGUACUGCUGGGACUGUUAAUCUUGGUGGCAACUUUUCUGGCUUCAGAGUAGAGGAUUAAUGGAGCACCCUACUAGAUGUUUCUGGAUGUGUCACAAAGACGUGAUCUUGGGAACUAUAUAUGACCCCCAAACCCCUUCCUCUCUGGCUCUCUUCCCUUGCACUCUGCUUCCUGGUCAUUAUGAGGCGAGCAGUUCUGUUCCACCAUGACCUUCUACCAUAACGUUCUAGCUUUGCAGUCAGUUGACCAUGGACUGAAACCUCGGAAACUUUACAGACUACAAUCCUUUAUGCCUCACAAAAUCUGAACAUCAUCACACACAAUGAGCCAGGUUUCUACUCAGACACAUGGACAUAUAACUUGACUAACACCAAAUGAGGUAACAGGAUUUGGAGAAACUGGGACCCUCACGCACUGCUGGCGGGAACACAGGUUCAACUGGACUUUUCCAUACCGACUCAUACAGAACAUUGGAGUUUUAACUUGGUACUUCUUUAGAAAUGUACUCAGCAUACAUAAUUUAAUAACAAACUGGUUAUAUUGAUACUAUUGGGACCACCUUCAAUAGAAAAAAAGAAUGCUUGUAAGCGAUAAGAUUGUUGAGGGAGAAAGAAAGAGAAAGGGGGAAGGGAGAGAAGGGAGAGCAUCUCUUUCCUCAAACAAAAAUGAUGAAAUAAAUGGAGCAAAGGACAGCGACUGACACUUUAUGUCAAUAACUGGGAAAGAAAGGAAUGAUGCAGAUUGCGUGAAACUGAAGAAUUCCCAUCCUGCCAAAAUGCAGGUGCAAUUC